AAGCUAGUUCCACAAGAACAAAAUUGCUUUUUGUCCAUCUCUUAGUAGCUUCCUUAGCCAAAUAGGCAUCGCGCUCUGAAGGAUUCAAUGUCCACACUACCACCAAUUUCUCAAAUCAUUGGUAAGUUCUCUGUCCAACUCUUUAAGGAUAUCUUCACCAAAAGUCUCAGCAUAAGUCUGUUGAAUCAACUUGCGUUGAGCAGCAUUUCUAUUAGCCAAAAUUGAUAUGAUCAACUUCUCGUUUGUUCCCCAUCCUUUGAAGGCAGCUCGGAGUUGUUCACAGUCUUCAGCAACUGAAGGAACUUCUGCCGUAACAAUAAGACUAGCCAUUUUUUUCAAGACUUGUAAAUGCUAGCUAAGGUCCGUCCUCAUCUCCAUAGCUUCAUCGACGAAUAAUACACACACAGUCAUAUGGACAGAAAAGUAAGAGAAAAUCUCGACUUUUGCUUUGAUCUUUGCUCAUGGAGUUUAUUUGAGGUCGUUGUUCUAAGGUUCGAGUUUCCGAUGAAGUUUCCGGGAAGAUCUUAUUUCCGCUCGAGUUCGUCCUAGCUUUAUCCGGUCAGUCCAUUCAACAUAUUGUUAGCGUUCAUUCAUGAUUGUUUAAGUUAGAAUUGUGUUAGUUCAUGCCUUGUAGAUGUGUCAAUCAUGGUUGGAAAUUUGACGUUGUUAGUUCAAUAUAAUUUUGUUCUGAUUCAAUAUGAUGUUAUUCUGAUUCAUGGGUUAUCAAUUGUGUUUCAAGCUUAAAAUUGUGAUUUGAGUUUCAUGAAUCCUAAUGUUGUUCUGACAUGAAUUUGAUCUUGAAGAAUAUGACUUUGUUGAAAUGAUUCUUGAGUGCUGUUGAUUGAGAGUUAAUUUCAUGUGCUAAUCAGUCAAUUGUUAGGCUUGAAUUGGUUAUAGCUGUUGUAGCUUAAGUGAUUAAUUAAGAAUCAGUGUAGUAAUUUAUUAGGUGUAUUUGGUUAGAGCUGAUUGAUUCUGUGCAGAUAGAAAUGGAUAGGGGCAGGGUAGUAAUUUUUAGUUAUUUCGGGGGUAUUUUGGAAAUUGAUUAAAUGUAGGCCCAUAACUUUUAAUUAAAAUAAAAGGGACCAAGGGUAGUGGGGGACAAGACAUAAUUAUUAAAGUAAAAGAGGGUGGGGACUGUGUAGUCCACGUUUGACUACUCUUUGCUUUAAUAAUAAAAGCUGAAAAGUAAAAGUAAAAGGAGGGGGUAAUAAUAAAAGAGUAGUAAUAAUAAUUAAAGGGAGGAGAAAGAAUCUUGCAUUUUGGGGUAUAUAAUAGCAGUAAUUUUAACAUUUAGGGAGAGAAGAUUUAAGAGAGAAAAAAUAUUUGCAGUAUUAAAGGGAAAUAAAAAAAAUUCAGAUUCAGCCUUUGAGAAUUCAAAAACUGAAAGUGAAGUCUUUAUUUACUGCUAAAAUCAGAACAUUGUUACUGCUUCUGUGGUUUGCAUUUGGCUCUGCUGAUUUUCGGAUUGAAUUCUUGGGUUUCUGAUCUUGGUUUUGCUGUUGGAUUAUUUUUGAAUCUAUUUCUUGAGUGUGGAAUCAUCUUUGUUGAUUUUAAAAUUUGUCCCUGGGCGUUUAAUUUGCUACUGUUGUUGCUGUUUUCUAUUGUUCCUUAGCUACGGCUGACCCUUGUCUUCUCCUGUCUUAUUUCUCUAAUCCAGGUAUUCACUUGAGUUAAAUACCGGAGUAACUGUGCAGUUGAGCAUGAGUUGAAAUGUGAAGACUUUUUAUUAUGAAAUAUUGUACCUCUAGUUUAAUAGAUACAAUGAUAAUUAGUUAUGUAAUUUUUUGUUUUAAUUCAACAAAAAUGCAUUAGGUAGAUUGUACUUAAUUGAAGCUUUAUUUAUUUUAAAACUAUAAUUUGUAGUUGUUUAAUUAUAUAUUUAAUAUAGUUAUGUGAUUUGUGCGAAUGAACAUGUUGUUAGUAGAUCGAUAAUUAGAUUUCAUCCUUAAUAGUCUCUUACAUAUAUAAGGUAAUUCGGAAUCACCUUCAAUUAAAAUUGGCAAACAUUUAAUAUGGGGAAUCGAUUUAACUUAAUUGGUUGGUAAGAUCUAGCUCUGAACUUGCGAAUAUUGGAAUAGGAGCAAUUUGAAAUUGGUAAUUUUUGAAUCUUGUUAGUAACAAAGAUCCGCAAGUAUGAAGCAAAU
Molecule: long non-coding RNA, 2144 nt
Filed under: Nicotiana benthamiana
Lineage: Eukaryota; Viridiplantae; Streptophyta; Magnoliopsida; Solanales; Solanaceae
Description: long non-coding RNA (NBEN_LNC032295)
Source: RNAcentral